This 497-nucleotide ribosomal RNA is filed under the name uncultured bacterium. Its description in RNAcentral is "partial 16S ribosomal RNA". It matches the Rfam family "Bacterial small subunit ribosomal RNA", at positions 28 to 507 of the family's 1533-position model. The record is from RNAcentral.
GAUGAACGCUGGCGGCGUGCCUAAUACAUGCAAGUCGAGCGAACAGACGAGGAGCUUGCUCCUCUGACGUUAGCGGCGGACGGGUGAGUAACACGUGGAUAACCUACCUAUAAGACUGGGAUAACUUCGGGAAACCGGAGCUAAUACCGGAUAAUAUAUUGAACCGCAUGGUUCAAUAGUGAAAGACGGUUUUGCUGUCACUUAUAGAUGGAUCCGCGCCGAAUUAGCUAGUUGGUAAGGCAACGGCUUACCAAGGCAACGAUGCGUAGCCGACCUGAGAGGGUGAUCGGCCACACUGGAACUGAGACACGGUCCAGACUCCUACGGGAGGCAGCAGUAGGGAAUCUUCCGCAAUGGGCGAAAGCCUGACGGAGCAACGCCGCGUGAGUGAUGAAGGUCUUCGGAUCGUAAAACUCUGUUAUUAGGGAAGAACAAAUGUGUAAGUAACUAUGCACGUCUUGACGGUACCUAAUCAGAAAGCCACGGCUAACUACGUG